Long non-coding RNA from Tripterygium wilfordii, 1764 nucleotides. RefSeq lists it as uncharacterized. The record is from RefSeq and is a predicted model, not a curated record. The transcript has 3 exons. Lineage: Eukaryota; Viridiplantae; Streptophyta; Magnoliopsida; Celastrales; Celastraceae.
UCCACAUUUGCAUGAUUUGUUUUGACUUCGAGCUUCCUUCAUCUGCUGCCUACGAGCUCUACUGUAGGAGUUCUUGAGUCGACGAUCCUGUUCUUCAUCGCACUCGUAUACCACCUUCUCACCGUCAUCUUCUCUCUCGCCCUGCGUUAACCGCCACUCCGACGCAGGGUUUCCCUCUCUAAAUAGCUGAUAAUCACGACAGCAGUCUCUCUUCCAAACUGUCUAAAAAUUCUCAAAUCGAUUUGAAACCCGUCUCUUAAAUUUCAUCGGAAACAACUGUCUCAAUCAUUACCCACUGCAGAGAAUCCAAUCUCCUCUUCCCAUUCUCUUCAUCGCCGGAAGUUAAGCCAUGAGACCACGGUUUUCACCCUUGUCCUGCAUCAUUACCCUCGUUUCGAUAAAGUAAUCAGUCAUCUUCUUAUUCCAUAUUCUCCGGAUUGGAUUUUUAAGCAAUUGGUGUGUUUUUAUUUCAUAUCCCCAUAAGCUUACUACUUGUUUGUAAAAAGUCCUUAAUGGGAAGUCCUAUAAAAUUGUCUCUAGAUUCUUGUGGGACUUCCUUAUUAACAGUAGCGGCAUUAAAAUGAACAAUCAAAUCAAAUCAAAUUAUUUGCCUUCUCUAAAAUCUUCUCAUAUACCCCCGAAUUCUUUCCAGAGCCUGUUGAAUAAUUUUUAUGGAUUCCUUCAUUUCACUGAUUCGGACUAAAUAACGAGCUAAUGAAUCGCCUUCUUUUUGCCACGGGACUUCCCAAUCAAAUUCGUUGUAACAUUCAUAAUGAUCAACUUUGCGAAGAUCCCACUGUAUUCCCGAAGCUCGUAGCAUUGGUCCUGAUAAACCCCAAUUUAUUGCUUCCUCUGCACUAAUAAUACCUAAACUUGGAUCGUUCAAAUUUCAUGUUCUUUUAAUGGUUUAUGGAGUUGAUUCAAAUUUGACAGUUGAAGUUAGAAUUAAUUGCUUAAGCAGUUUAAGGUGGGUUGGAAGGCAGCAGAGAAACUAGUUAAGCACUGGAAGAUACUCAGAGGAGACAAUGUGAUGGUAAUCAGGGGCAAGGAUAAAGGUGAGACGGGUCUUAUCAAGCGUGUCAUCCGCUCUCAAAAUCGCGUUAUUGUUGAUGAGAAGAAUCUGGAAUUUUUCAAGAGAGUCAUCCAUUGAUAAAUGUCUCCUACGGCAUUUAUAAACCACUAGCGCUAGAAGACAUGGCAUCCCACAUAAAGCUCUUGCUACAAGGUAUAGUGCUGCAAAGCAAAAACAGGAAGAGAAUUCAUGAAUGAUUUAUUAGCAACUGAGAUUUGAAGGUAACAGUGAUGCUUGUGCUGAAAGAAACGUCAAGAUAACUUACCAAGCAAAGAAGACACCGAAUUCUCUGUCAGAAAGAGAGGAACAAAAAUAAAGGAAUGAGCCUUGGAGAGAAGCUGAUAUUGUGGUAAAGAGGAAACUAUAAAAGCAAUUUCAAGGAUUCUCACCUCUUACUAAAACUGCAGAAAGCACUGUGAGAAAGCCUGUACAGUCCAUGGCAUUGAAAAGUCAGUUUAUAUACAUAUUAUGAAAACAGUUUUUGUACAUCCUAUGAGUACAAAAAGUAUAAGAAAUAUAGAAUUGAAAUCCAAAAUAUAGUAUAUGCAUCUGCGUGAGUGUUUAUUUAUGAUAUAAGAAACUAGCCCACAAUUGGAAGUUACCCGAAUAACUGUAGCAGUACACUAUAACGUAUGCAUAUGCCUGAGUGUUUAUGUUGUAAGAACCUAGCCACAAUUGGAAGUUACCUUCAU